Molecule: long non-coding RNA, 513 nt
Filed under: Junco hyemalis (dark-eyed junco)
Lineage: Eukaryota; Metazoa; Chordata; Aves; Passeriformes; Passerellidae
Description: lncRNA (ENSJHYG00000011575.1)
Source: RNAcentral
ACAGGGAUGUCCCUGCUCCAGGGCUGUGAUCAGGACAGGGAUGUCCCUGCUCCAGCCCCUCUCUGGCCCUGGUGGACUCUCCCAUCCCACUGCUGCCCUCGGAGGCAGGGAGGUGACUCCUCUGCCAGGCUCUGCAGGAGAUCCAGGAGCAGUGGGGCUCUACAGACUCCCGGUGCUGCUGAGCCCAUCCUUGUUCCCUCUGGCAGCCAAUUCCUCACCCCAGGUUUUGGGGGUGCAGCUCCCCCAGAGCUGGCUCUUGCCUCUUGCCUGUUCCUCACAGGCAGCUCCUGCUCCUUCCCAGCCUCCCACAGCCAUGGGCACACUGUGCUGUGUCCUGCUCUGCAGCUUUGGCUCCAUCCUCCAUCCUUUCCCCAUGGAUGAGCUCAGAGCCAGUCCUGGCCCAGGGCUGCCAUCACCUCCCCAGGCACCAGAGGUUUGGUUGGGUUGUACAGAACGAUUGUAACCUGUAACUUUUUGUAAUUGUUUUUAAUAAAAGAGUGUUGACUAGAUGCA